AAAAUUAAAAUACAUUUUUUCCUUUUUUCUAGCAAAUCGGCUCCACAAUUUCUUUUAAAUGUAUAUGACAAACUUUCUGCUGAGGCAAACAAUGCACACACUCGUCAUGUAAGAAGUACCGAAGAUAAAAUCAUUUUUACAGAAGCAGACGAUCGAGCUAUAGAUCAGAGUGACAUUAUCAUGACAUUUUUGAAUGAAAAUCAUCAUGUAUCGGAAGUGAGACACGAGAAAGGGCGACGAUUAUGGUUUGAUUUAUCGAAAGUGGAUGAAAACAUGCAAAUAAUUUUGGCUGAACUAAGACUCUACCAGCUCAAUCAGAAGAAUAAAUAUAAAAAGUCUAAUGAAAGUAUGUCAUUAGCUGUAUAUUCAAUCAUGAACAUUGAUGGAUGGUCUCGGAUUUGCCUU
Molecule: long non-coding RNA, 405 nt
Organism: Culex pipiens pallens (northern house mosquito)
Lineage: Eukaryota; Metazoa; Arthropoda; Insecta; Diptera; Culicidae
Exons: 3
Source: RefSeq, a predicted model, not a curated record